RNAcentral lists this ribosomal RNA (292 nucleotides) under uncultured bacterium. Its description in RNAcentral is "partial 16S ribosomal RNA". It matches the Rfam family "Bacterial small subunit ribosomal RNA", at positions 505 to 796 of the family's 1533-position model. The record is from RNAcentral.
GUGCCAGCCGCCGCGGUAAGACGAACCGUGCGAACGUUGUUCGGAUUCACUGGGCUUAAAGGGCGCGUAGGCGGCUUGCCAAGUCUGUGGUGAAAUCUUUCGGCUCAACCGGAAAACGGCCGUGGAUACUGGCAAGCUCGAGGGGGGUAGGGGCCGUGGGAACUGCCGGUGGAGCGGUGAAAUGCGUUGAGAUCGGCAGGAACGCCGGUGGCGAAAGCGCACGGCUGGGCCCUCCCUGACGCUGAGGCGCGAAAGCCAGGGGAGCAAACGGGAUUAGAAACCCUAGUAGUCC